Long non-coding RNA from Oryza sativa Japonica Group (Japanese rice), 1008 nucleotides. RefSeq lists it as uncharacterized. The record is from RefSeq and is a predicted model, not a curated record. Lineage: Eukaryota; Viridiplantae; Streptophyta; Magnoliopsida; Poales; Poaceae.
AACAAUGUAAUAUCAACAAUUCAAACUCUAAUUCCAUCUAUCUCUUCCUGUUCUUCCUCUGUUCUUCGUGUUCUUCCUCCGUUCUUUCCCCUUUUCCAAGUCUUCCUCUUCUUCUUCUGAUUCUGCGAGAGAAAUAUGUUGCAGCGAGACUUGAGACUGUGACAGAUACAUGGGCUCAAAUCGUGAGUGGCAGCCCAGUUACGGCCUGCGUGGGGAUUCUCACCGACCUGCGUUGCCUUCGCUGCUCGCACGAAAGGGAACCUGGCCCCCGACCCCGAGGUCUCCCUCAACUGUGGACGGCGGACGCCGCGCGCUCGCCGCAGGGGCGCCGGCUGCGGCAGUGGGGAUCAGGCGCCGUCGCGCGCCCACGGCGUCCUCCCGUGCGGUUGGUCCUCUGCGCCGGGCUCCCCUCCCGUGAUCCUCCCACCGGUUCCUCUCAAGAGUUCAGACAUUCUCAGUCAACUGGGGAGCAAAUUUCUUUACGGCGUCACCAACUGUCAGGCAUAUCUUUUCUUCACCAAUGAGCUCUGUGAAUUUUGCUGACCGGAGCUUUUGGAUCACAGCCGCCCCAGGAUUGGCGAAAAUCAGCUUUUAUUUGGACAACCUCCACUUCAACUUAUCUGGAAAUACAGCACAAUUGCUUGGCUUUUCUAAUGGCAAAGAUCAAGUUGUGAAUGAGAACUCACGAUUGCGACGCCUUGUUUGUCAGCACGAGUGAUGUAGACGAACAAAGUUGAAAUGAUCACCGAAAUGAGUGGUGCAAUUGCUGGGACCCAGAAGAGCUUCUUGUUCUUCUUGCCCUGAAUAAUCCCAGUGGACAAGUGUGAUCAUCAGUUCAUCAACAAUAGUCAAGAGAAGAGAUCAAGAAGUUGGAGAGGUACAAAAAUACUUGCCCCAUGGUGAACAUUUCCCCAGACUGAUUUCAUGACCGAGAUGAUGUCAGUCUUCUUGGUGAAGUUUGCAAUUCCAAGGAAGCCUUUAAGCUGCUGAAGAGCAAUGGUGAUGGCG